Molecule: ribosomal RNA, 393 nt
Filed under: uncultured bacterium
Lineage: Bacteria
Description: partial 16S ribosomal RNA
Rfam family: Bacterial small subunit ribosomal RNA
Source: RNAcentral
AUACGGAGGAUGCGAGCGUUAUCCGGAUUUAUUGGGUUUAAAGGGAGCGUAGGUGGGAUAUUAAGUCAGCUGUGAAAGUUUGGGGCUCAACCUUAAAAUUGCAGUUGAUACUGGUUUCCUUGAGUACGGUACAGGUGGGCGGAAUUCGUGGUGUAGCGGUGAAAUGCUUAGAUAUCACGAAGAACUCCGAUCGCGAAGGCAGCUCACCGGGCCGGAACUGACACUGAUGCUCGAAAGUGCUGGUAUCAAACAGGAUUAGAUACCCUGGUAGUCCGCACAGUAAACGAUGAAUACUCGCUGUUUGCGAUACACGGUAAGCGGCCAAGCGAAAGCGUUAAGUAUUCCACCUGGGGAGUACGCCGGCAACGGUGAAACUCAAAUGAAUUGGCGGGG